AGUCUGGUGCCAGCAGCCGCGGUAAUUCCAGCUCCAAUAGUGUAUACUAACGUUGUUGCGGUUAAAAAGCUCGUAGUUGGAUUUUUGGUUGCGUGCGGGCGGGCGGCAUUGACUGCUUGUGUUGCGCGGGGCCUUUUGGGGACGUCGUUGUGACGUGUCCGAUUACUUUGAACAAAUUAGAGUGCUCAAAGCAGGCGUUUGCCUUGAAUAGAUUAGCAUGGAAUAAGAGAUAUGAUUUGCGUGGUGCUUUGUUGUGUUGGCGGUCGCGCGAGUAAUGAUGGACAGGGACGGACGGGGGCUUGAGAAUUGCGUCGCCAGAGGUGAAAUUCUUAGACUGGCGCAAGUCUGGCUGAUGCGAAAGCGAUUGCCAAGCACGUUUUCAUUGAUCAAGAACGAAAGUUGGGGGAUCGAAGACGAUUAGAUACCGUCGUAGUCUCAACCAUAAACGAUGCCAACCAGGGAUUGGGGGGGGCAAUAGACUUUCUCACGACUUCCUCAGCACCUUGCGAGAAAUCAGAGUGUUUGGGUUCCGGGGGAAGUAUGGUCGCAAGGCUGAAACUUAAAGGAAUUGACGGAAGGGCACCACCAGGAGUGGAGCCUGCGGCUUAAUUUGACCCAACACGGGAAAACUUACCAGGCCCAGACGUAGCGAGGAUUGACAGAUUGAAAGCUCUUUCUUGAUUUUAUGGAUGGUGGUGCAUGGCCGUUCUUAGUUGGUGGAGUGAUUUGUCUGCUUAAUUGCGAUAACGAACGAGACCUUGAGGGCUUGGUGGGGCUGUGGCGGGGCAACCCGGCGCGCCCGGACUAGUCCGACUGCUGCGUGUUGUAACCAGAGGAAGUUUGAGGCUAUAACAGGUCUGUGAUGCCCUUAGAUGGUCUGGGCUGCACGCGCGCUACAAUGGGCAAGACAGCGAGUGACGAGGCGCGGCGAGUCCGUGCUGUCCUGCUCCGGGAGGGGUGGGUAAUCUUGCAAACUUGUCCGUGAUGGGGAUAGAUGUUUGUAAUUUUGGAUCUUGAACGAGGAAUUCCUAGUAAACGCGUGUCAACAACGCGCAUUGAUUACGCCCCUGCCCUUUGUACACACCGCCCGUCGCUCCUACCGAUUGGGUGUUGAGGUGAGGUUUUUGGAGCUUGUUGGUUUCCUGGGCGACUGGGGGGCUGGGGGCGAAGUUACCCAAAUCUUGACAUCUAGAGGAAGGAGAAGUCGUAACAAGGU
RNAcentral lists this ribosomal RNA (1216 nucleotides) under metagenome. RNAcentral describes it as "SSU rRNA". It matches the Rfam family "Eukaryotic small subunit ribosomal RNA", at positions 558 to 1800 of the family's 1831-position model. The record is from RNAcentral.